Molecule: ribosomal RNA, 389 nt
Filed under: uncultured bacterium
Lineage: Bacteria
Description: bacterial SSU rRNA
Rfam family: Bacterial small subunit ribosomal RNA
Source: RNAcentral
GACGAACGCUGGCGGCGUGCUUAACACAUGCAAGUCGAGCGGUAAGGCCCUUUCGGGGGUACGACGAGCGGCGAACGGGUGAGUAACACGUGGGUGACCUGCCCUCAGCUCUGGGAUAAGCCCGGGAAACUGGGUCUAAUACUGGAUAUGACUCCAUGACGCAUGUUGUGGGGUGGAAAGCCUUGUGCGGCUGAGGAUGGGCCCGCGGCCUAUCAGCUUGUUGGUGGGGGAUGGCCUACCAAGGCGACGACGGGUAGCCGGCCUGAGAGGGCGACCGGCCACACUGGGACUGAGACACGGCCCAGACUCCUACGGGAGGGCAGCAGUGGGGAAUCUUGCGCAAUGGGCGAAAGCCUGACGCAGCGACGCCGCGUGAGGGAUGACGGCCU